CAGGAAUUGCGUCAGGCUUUGGGCGAAGCCGGUUUCGAGCCGGUGCUGGAAAGUGUGCCCAUGUGCCGCGACACGGAAAACCUGU
RNAcentral lists this transfer RNA (85 nucleotides) under Desulfovibrio fairfieldensis. RNAcentral describes it as "tRNA-Arg". RNAcentral also lists the same sequence under 1 other name. Lineage: Bacteria; Pseudomonadati; Thermodesulfobacteriota; Desulfovibrionia; Desulfovibrionales; Desulfovibrionaceae. The record is from RNAcentral.